GAUGAACGCUGGCGGCGUGCUUAACACAUGCAAGUCGAACGGGAAACCUUUUAUUGAAGCUUCGGCAGAUUUCGCUGGUUUCUAGUGGCGGACGGGUGAGUAACGCGUGGGUAACCUGCCUUAUACAGGGGGAUAACAACCAGAAAUGGUUGCUAAUACCGCAUAAGCGCACAGGACCGCAUGGUCCGGUGUGAAAAACUCCGGUGGUAUAAGAUGGACCCGCGUUGGAUUAGCUAGUUGGCAGGGUAACGGCCUACCAAGGCGACGAUCCAUAGCCGGCCUGAGAGGGUGAACGGCCACAUUGGGACUGAGACACGGCCCAGACUCCUACGGGAGGCAGCAGUGGGGAAUAUUGCACAAUGGGGGAAACCCUGAUGCAGCGACGCCGCGUGAAGGAAGAAGUAUCUCGGUAUGUAAACUUCUAUCAGCAGGGAAGAUAGUGACGGUACCUGACGAAGAAGCCCCGGCUAACUACGUG
RNAcentral lists this ribosomal RNA (478 nucleotides) under uncultured bacterium. RNAcentral's name for it is "partial 16S ribosomal RNA". It matches the Rfam family "Bacterial small subunit ribosomal RNA", at positions 28 to 507 of the family's 1533-position model. The record is from RNAcentral.